CCUCGCAUGGUAAUCGCCCCCUUUGGGAAGUGACGUCACGCGGCCCCCAGCCAAUCGGCGGCCCCGCAUUUAAAUCCGCGCCCCCUUUUCCCGCGUUUUGGCGCCCCGGCCCCGGCCGAGCCCCCGCUGCUGGACGGGGCGGGCGGGACGGGGCGGGCGCGGCUCGGCUCGGCUCUGCUCGGCACGGCUCGGUGCGGAGGGCAGCGGAACGCCCCCAGCUGCACCCUCCUCCCGCAGCGUACCGGCACCCGUCUGCCCCCCGCCCGCCGUGCUUCGCCUCCCCGCCCGUGCUGGAGGAGCCGCGUUGUGGGGUGCCCCCACCCCUCACCCCCCCAGGCCCAUAGUGCUCCUCUCCGCAUCAAACAGGGGGCACGGGCGGGCAGCACCCCCGGCACGGCACGGCACAGCGGACCCACCUGCUGAACCCAACUUCCCUCUCCUUGUCCUUCGCCCUCCCUUCUCCCUUUCCCCUCUCCCUUUCCCCGGCCUUUCCUUUUUCCCCUCCCUUCCCUUCCCCGUACGCUUUCCUUCCCUUUUUCCCUCCCCUUUCCUUCUGCCUUUCCCCGGUCCCAGCUGGCCGUUGCCCCCCCGUCCCUCGCAGCCUCUCCUCCUGCAGCAGCGCCCGCCCCGUCCGGCCUCUGCACCUGGCCGGGCGUCGGGGCAGCCCGGAGGGCGCCUUCCCCGCAGCCAACGCGGGGCCGAGGAGCACCCGGGCCGGGGAUACGUCUGCGAUCCCGCACGGAUCCUCUCGACACCCCUUCCCCCCCCCCCGUUUUCAUUAUUUCCCCUCUAGGUUUUGCUAUUUUCCCUCGCCGGUUCGUAGCGCGCCGUGCGUGUAGCGACGAACGCGGCGCAUACAAAUCCAGCAGCAAUACGAAUAAUAAAAUGCCGGGAGGCUUAGCUAAAAUGUGACCUGCUGCGAAACGGGGGAGCCGCGGAACGAAGCCGAUCGCCGCGGGAGCAGCCGCGGCUGAGCGCAGCCUGCCGGUCCGGGCAGCUCCGGCUCUCGGCGAGCUCCGCUCGGCUUCUUUAUUUCUUCCCCUCCUCGCUUCCCCCCUCCCCGCCUUUCCUUUGAAAAAUAAUAAUAA
Oxyura jamaicensis (ruddy duck) is the source of this 1088-nucleotide long non-coding RNA. RefSeq lists it as uncharacterized. The transcript is spliced from 2 exons. The record is from RefSeq and is a predicted model, not a curated record. NCBI's taxonomy places the organism in Eukaryota, Metazoa, Chordata, Aves, Anseriformes, Anatidae.